This 460-nucleotide ribosomal RNA is filed under the name Euproctis pyraustis. RNAcentral's name for it is "partial large subunit ribosomal RNA". Lineage: Eukaryota; Metazoa; Arthropoda; Insecta; Lepidoptera; Erebidae. The record is from RNAcentral.
UGCCCCCUGAUUUUAUAAUUAAAGGGCUGCAGUAUUUUGACUGUACAAAGGUAGCAUAAUCAUUAGUCAUUUAAUUGAUGACUUGUAUGAAAGAUUGGAUGAAAUAUAAACUGUCUUAAUUUUAAAUUAUAAAAUUUAAUUUUUUAGUUAAAAAGCUAAAAUAAAUUAAAAAGACGAGAAGACCCUAUAGAGUUUAAUUAAAUUGUAAAGUUUGUUAAUUUAUAUAAAUUAAUAUUAGAAAAUUUAUUUUUAAUUUUGUUGGGGUGAUAAAAAAAUUAAAAUAACUUUUUUUUUUAUUAUACAUAAAUAAGUGAUUAAUUGAUCCAAUUUUAUUGAUUAAAAGAUAAAAUUACCUUAGGGAUAACAGCGUAAUUUUUUUUUUUAGUUCAUAUAAAAAAAAAAGUUUGCGACCUCGAUGUUGGAUUAAGAUAAAAUUUAAAUGUAGAAGUUUAAAGUUUGA